UGGAGGAAACUCUGACCGAGCAACGCCGCGUGAACGAUGAAGUAUUUCGGUACGUAAAGUUCUUUUAUUAGGGAAGAAUAAAUGAUGGAAAAAUCAUUCUGACGGUACCUAAUGAAUAAGCCCCGGCUAACUAUGUGCCAGCAGCCGCGGUAAUACAUAGGGGGCAAGCGUUAUCCGGAAUUAUUGGGCGUAAAGGGUGCGUAGGCGGUUAAAUAAGUUUAUGGUCUAAGUGCAAUGCUUAACAUUGUGAUGCUAUAAAAACUGUUUAGCUAGAGUAAGAUAGAGGCAAGUGGAAUUCCAUGUGUAGUGGUAAAAUGCGUAAAUAUAUGGAGGAACACCAGUAGCGAAGGCGGCUUGCUGGGUCUUUACUGACGCUGAGGCACGAAAGCGUGGGGAGCAAACAGGAUUAGAUACCCUGGUAGUCCACGCCGUAAACGAUGAGUACUAAAUGUUGGGUAAAACCAGUGUUGAAGUUAACACAUUAAGUACUCCGCCUGAGUAGUACGUACGCAAGUAUGAAACUUAAAGGAAUUGACGGGACUCCGCACAAGCGGUGGAUCAUGUUGUUUAAUUCGAAGGUACCCGAAAAACCUCACCAGGUCUUGACAUGCUUCUGCAAAGCUGUAGAAACACAGUGGAGGUUAUCAGUUGCACAGGUGGUGCAUGGUUGUCGUCAGCUCGUGUCGUGAGAUGUUGGGUUAAGUCCCGCAACGAGCGCAACCCUUAUUGUUAGUUGCCAGCACGUAAUGGUGGGGACUUUAGCAAGACUGCCAGUGAUAAAUUGGAGGAAGGUGGGGACGACGUCAAAUCAUCAUGCCCCUUAUGACCUGGGCUACAAACGUGAUACAAUGGCUGUUACAAAGGGUAGCUGAAACGCAAGUUUUUGGCGAAUCUCAAAAAAACAGUCUCAGUUCGGAUUGAAGUCUGCAACUCGACUUCAUGAAGUUGGAAUCGCUAGUAAUCGCGAAUCAGCAUGUCGCGGUGAAUACGUUCUCGGGGUUUGUACACACCGCCCGUCAAACCACGAAAGUUGGCAAUACCCAAAGCCGGUGGCUUAACUUCGCAAGAAGAGGGAACCGUCUAAGGUAGGGUCGAUGAUUGGGGUUAAGUCGUAACAAGGUAUCCCUACCGGAAGGUGGGGAUGGAUCACCUCCUUUCUAAGGA
Molecule: ribosomal RNA, 1164 nt
Filed under: 'Apium graveolens' phyllody phytoplasma
Lineage: Bacteria; Bacillati; Mycoplasmatota; Mollicutes; Acholeplasmatales; Acholeplasmataceae
Description: bacterial SSU rRNA
Rfam family: Bacterial small subunit ribosomal RNA
Source: RNAcentral